This is a non-coding RNA of Oncorhynchus mykiss (rainbow trout), 1848 nucleotides long. The record is from RefSeq and is a predicted model, not a curated record. Lineage: Eukaryota; Metazoa; Chordata; Actinopteri; Salmoniformes; Salmonidae.
CAUCUGGUGGAAAGAGAUUGUAAAACAGAAAUAGUUGCUUUAUACGUGCUGUACGUUACGACACGUCAAGAUGUAACGGAGGGUCUGUUUUUUCAACUUUUCUCCAAUACUAUUGGAUUAAUACUAGAGCCAUUACCAUGUCGAUCAACGCUUGAAUAGAAACCUAGUUCACACCCCCGAUUUUGACGUCAACACAGUCCCACUUGGUAGCCUCGUUUGAAUGUUGCGGUUGCGCACAUUUGUACGGAAUGGGAAUACCUUGACUGACACGAGUUGAACUUACGGGAGAAGAAACAGACGGGCCGAUACACUCCGUCUUCAUCUUCCUAUGUGACCCUGUCCUAACAAGGCUCCUGAGCCAAUAUCCUCCAUUCCAGCUGGUCAGGACAGCCUUAAACAGCCCAUGGAGCAGCUCAGCCUGGACAGAGUGACAAACAUAAAAAAGACUGUGAUUGGACGUUCUCUCUUCGUCAUCCAAAAGCUGCUUACUUAGGUCCGAAGAUUUCCUCAGUCUCUGGCUGGGGAACAGGAUCCAUUUCAUAAAGGGAUCAGAGGCACCAUCUUGGCCUGACUUCAUUGAGAUGUGCUUCUCUGUUUAAACGGACUGUGGUCUGUUUCUCUCUCUCUUGGUCAGGCUGUUGUACUGCUUGAUAUGGAUGGAAGUUUCCAGCCUCCUCAGGUCAGAGUUCAAACUAGCCCACGUGACUGACCACAGCCUGUUAUACUGUGCAGGUGUCCAUGAUCUGGUGGCCUGUGGCGUCAUCAGCCCAAGAGUGUACCUGUAAGGACCACUCAUUCUCUUUGCUGCACCAAGCAGACAGCUCCAGCUUGGUGCAAAUAAGAUGCCUGACCAUCUGGUACAUGUCCCAACUCAACAUGGCCCUCCUGCUGAACAACUCGGAGGUGUGGCACAUCAUGCUGUUUAAGUGCAACUCUGUAGGAAGCAGGCCAGCAUUCUUGGACUCUUUUGCAAUGCAGAAUCUGCAGAGGCUGACUGUGUUGUACCCCUUGUGGUAGUCUGACCAGACACAUGACAUCAUACUGGGGAGGGACAUGGGUGCACCUUACUAUGAAGAGACCAGGCUAGGAAUCAUCCACAGCUCAGUGCUGCUGGGAGAAUCCAAUGUGAACAACAAAGAUAGACAACAACGGAAUCCUCUCGUCUAGAGUGAAACUACCAGAUACUUUUCUAUAUUAAUGCAGAUUCCUUUUUUCUAUGUUAACAUUGCCAAUGUACCACUACCUAUGCCUGUGACUGCAAUCUUCAUGGUCAUUUCAAUAUAGUAAGGUCACGAUUCAAUCAUGUAUUUUCACACUUCACUUUUAGAAGUGGGUUUGAUUUGCACAGCAGCAUGUCUCAAAUGGUGCCAUUACCUUUUGUUUCAAAUAUAUAUUUGAGGUAUUUUAACUUAAUUUAGACAGUAAGGAAAUCAGAGGGGGAGACAGGCAGGUGGGAGGAACAGUGGGAAGGGUGGACACUGGGACUGAACCCUGGUCUCCGAUGGGGAGUGUUGUAUGCGACUUGUGCAAACACACAUCCGACAGUUUGUACUUAUUUAGUAAUACUUUUCGAGGAAGCAUUUCAAUAACAGCAGUUAGGCUCUUUCCUUUUAAUUAAAGGUCUGCUUCAAUAUUCAUCAACACAAUACCUGUUGUUUGGCUUUGCUGAAAUAUCUACUUCCUUUACGGUAUAAUUUAAUUGACAUGAAAUUGAAUUUCAUUGACAAAUGUCCUUCAGUCUACCCUGCAAGGAUAACAAUUUGUUUGCUCUUUCAAAUCUGCAUUUAUUAACAUAGUAAUUACAAUAAUCCAUUGAAUUAGCUUUGAUUGUAUAUUAUGCAAAGAAAA